RNAcentral lists this transfer RNA (67 nucleotides) under Marmota monax (woodchuck). Its description in RNAcentral is "tRNA.Ala". Lineage: Eukaryota; Metazoa; Chordata; Mammalia; Rodentia; Sciuridae. The record is from RNAcentral.
GGUUGUGGCUCAGUGGUAGAGCAGUGGUCUAGCACAUGUGAGGCCCUGGGUUUGAUUCUCAGCACCA